GACGAACGCUGGCGGCGUGCUUAACACAUGCAAGUCGAACGGAAAGGCCCUGCUUUUGUGGGGUGCUCGAGUGGCGAACGGGUGAGUAACACGUGAGUAACCUGCCCUUGACUUUGGGAUAACUUCAGGAAACUGGGGCUAAUACCGGAUAGGAGCUCCUGCUGCAUGGUGGGGGUUGGAAAGUUUCGGCGGUUGGGGAUGGACUCGCGGCUUAUCAGCUUGUUGGUGGGGUAGUGGCUUACCAAGGCUUUGACGGGUAGCCGGCCUGAGAGGGUGACCGGCCACAGUGGGACUGAGAUACGGCCCAGGCUCCUACGGGAGGCAGCAGUGGGGAUUAUUGCACAAUGGGCGGAAGCCGGAUGCAGCAACGCCGCGUGCGGGAUGACGGCCUUCGGGUGGUAAACCGCUUUCGCCUGUGACGAAGCGUGAGUGACGGUAAUGGGUAAAGAAGCACCGGCUAACUACGUG
RNAcentral lists this ribosomal RNA (468 nucleotides) under uncultured bacterium. RNAcentral's name for it is "partial 16S ribosomal RNA". It matches the Rfam family "Bacterial small subunit ribosomal RNA", at positions 28 to 507 of the family's 1533-position model. The record is from RNAcentral.